Molecule: transfer RNA, 88 nt
Filed under: Deltaproteobacteria bacterium
Lineage: Bacteria; Pseudomonadati; Myxococcota; Myxococcia
Description: tRNA-Leu
Rfam family: tRNA
About the family: Transfer RNA (tRNA) molecules are approximately 80 nucleotides in length.
Source: RNAcentral
GCCACGGUAGCCGAAUUGGUACAGGCGGCGGAUUCAAAAUCCGUUUGGGGAGACUCAGUUGUCGGUUCGAGUCCGACCCGUGGUACAA